Molecule: unclassified non-coding RNA, 606 nt
Filed under: Hevea brasiliensis (rubber tree)
Lineage: Eukaryota; Viridiplantae; Streptophyta; Magnoliopsida; Malpighiales; Euphorbiaceae
Source: RNAcentral
CAGCAUAACACUUUCCCAUCCUCUUCAAGAAACGGAAGCAGAGAGUUAGGUAUCAAAAUCGCAAUAAAUUGUUAAAAUGAAUUUAUAAGAGUAGGAAAGAGAUCUUAUGAAAUGUAAUGAUUGAAAAUCCGUGGACAAAUAAUCUACUCCAUCCCAACCAGGAGUAUGCCUUGGCUAGAACGUGUAUAAACUAUUGUGACUACUUUUGUAGUCGUACAUACACCUACAAUGUCUCAGUUGGUCCUAAUUCCAGAGCACAAGCCAGCAUAUACCUAUAGAAACCAGAAAUUGGUCCACUCAACCCUUCUAACCUAUGUCCCUCAUUGGCCAUUAUUAUACUUUCCCAGCACUGCUGCUUCUUAAUCCUUCUACUCAUCAAAUUACAGUUUAAGAAACUCAUUCAGACUUUCACUUAUCCCAACUAAUAUACUAUCGCAACCAAGAUACUAACACUCAGAAAGUUCACUGCCCCCCAAAUGUUCUUUUCACAUGCACACAAAAUAAUAAUAACAUUUAAGUAAAGGGAAAAUGUUUGUGGGUUUAGCAUAGAUAUGGAAGGUUUGUUGAAUAUGGUUCACUUACCUGUGACUAUAGCAGCGUGACGAG